This 454-nucleotide ribosomal RNA is filed under the name uncultured bacterium. Its description in RNAcentral is "bacterial SSU rRNA". It matches the Rfam family "Bacterial small subunit ribosomal RNA", at positions 340 to 786 of the family's 1533-position model. The record is from RNAcentral.
UACGGAGGCAGCAGUGGGGAAUAUUGCACAAUGGGCGAAAGCCUGAUGCAGCUAUGCCGCGUGUAUGAAGAAGGCCUUAGGGUUGUAAAGUACUUUCAUCGGGGAGGAAAAAACAAAACUAAUAAUUUUAUUUCUUGACGUUACCCGAAAAAGAAGCACCGGCUAACUCCGUGCCAGCAGCCGCGGUAAUACGGAGGGUGCUAGCGUUAAUCAGAAUUACUGGGCGUAAAGAGCACGUAGGUGGUUUUUUUAAGUCAGAUGUGAAAUCCCUGGGCUUAACCUGGAACUGCAUUUUGAAACUGAAAUACUAGAGUAUCGUAGAGGGAGGUAGAAUUCUAGGUGUAGCGGUGAAAUGCGUAGAUAUCUGGAGGAAUACCUGUGGCGAAAGCGGCCUCCUAAACGAAUACUGACACUGAGGUGCGAAAGCGUGGGGAGCAAACAGGGAUUAGAUACC